Non-coding RNA from Meleagris gallopavo (turkey), 642 nucleotides. The record is from RefSeq and is a predicted model, not a curated record. Lineage: Eukaryota; Metazoa; Chordata; Aves; Galliformes; Phasianidae.
ACCAGUUAUGCAGCUAAGUGGCUGUGCAAAUAGACACUGUGAUUUCCUUAUGCAGUUGUAACUGCAUGCAGGAAAGCCUCGUGUUCAUUGCUGUUACAACUUACAGGAGCAUUAAUUAGGAAAAUACAUUUAGUAUGGCCAUAGAGCCAAAGAUUUUCCACUGUGGAUUGAAUUUUAGCUUCCACUUUGUGUCUACUGGUAAGAUCUGCCUUGAAAAGCCAGCAGAUUAGAUGUGGCCUGUGGUAGAUUGAUUCUCCGAGACUUGAAGUAGCUCACAUAUUUGAUCUGAGGGAGAAACAGAUAGCAGCAGAAGGUUGCCAUCCAAUCCUUGGACCAGUGAGAAGAUGAAGGUGACAACACAGCCAAUGGAUUAUAAAAUGCAUAGAGAAAAUAUGAGCUUGACUCACGUCCCUUCUGCAUGCACUAUUUGGAUCACUGCACACUAUCCUACAAUAUAUUUUCUGACAAUUCAACUUCUGGAACUAUAAAUAUAUGAGACCACUGCAUUUCUGAGAAGGUUCGGUGAAUGUCAGCAAAGCAGCCAGCCCCAUCGUAAAUGUUAAUAUCAUAUCAGACAAAAGGUACCUCCAAAGCAACAUUGAUGGAAAAAUCCCUAUGAAUAAUAAAAUCCUAUAACAAAUA